UGUCCAGACUCCUACGGGAGGCAGCAGUGGGGGAUAUUGCACAAUGGGGGGAACCCUGAUGCAGCAACGCCGCGUGAAGGAAGACGGUUUUCGGAUUGUAAACUUCUGUUCUUAGUGAAGAAGAAUGACGGUAGCUAAGGAGCAAGCCACGGCUAACUACGUGCCAGCAGCCGCGGUAAUACGUAGGGGGCAAGCGUUAUCCGGAUUUACUGGGUGUAAAGGGGGCGCAGACGGCAGCGCAAGCCAGGAGUGAAAGCCCGGGGCCCAACCCCGGGACUGCUCUUGGAACUGCGCGGCUGGAGUGCAGGAGGGGCAGGCGGAAUUCCUGGUGUAGCGGUGAAAUGCGUAGAUAUCAGGAGGAACGCCGGUGGCGAAGGCGGCCUGCUGGACUGCGACUGACGUUGAGGCCCGAAAGCGUGGGGAGCAAACAGGAUUAGAUACCCCUGUACU
This 450-nucleotide ribosomal RNA is filed under the name uncultured bacterium. RNAcentral describes it as "partial 16S ribosomal RNA". It matches the Rfam family "Bacterial small subunit ribosomal RNA", at positions 328 to 794 of the family's 1533-position model. The record is from RNAcentral.